Phyllostomus discolor (pale spear-nosed bat) is the source of this 1032-nucleotide long non-coding RNA. RefSeq lists it as uncharacterized. The transcript has 3 exons. Lineage: Eukaryota; Metazoa; Chordata; Mammalia; Chiroptera; Phyllostomidae. The record is from RefSeq and is a predicted model, not a curated record.
GGAAGUUACUCUUCCUGCCAAAAGGAGUGGAGAACAACCUUCCCCAGUUCCACACCACAGCCAAAUCAAAGACAGAGGCAGCCCUGGACAGUGUGGCUCAGUUGAAAUUGUUUCAGAUUGACAACUGGCCCAAGAAGAUCCUGACCUUAUGGCUGAAGGUCAAGACCUGAAGCUCAGGGUGAGAAGAGCUCGGGGAGCAGCCUCACCCCCUUAUGCUUCGUGGAAUGAGAUCCUCAGGAUGUCUGUUUCCAUUGAGGUGUGUGCCACAGUCACAUGUUCACACUCUGUCCGCCAAAGGCCCAACCAGGAACACAGAGACCUCAGACCCUGACAUGCAGGGCAAUUCAGGGAAGGUGACUGGCCACAAGGUGAUGGUAAGCUGACAAGUUGGACAGGGGACCCUAGACGCACUUGAGAAAUAGGUGAAGGGUGGGACUCCUUGUCUAUCGGUGGUUCAGCAGAACAGAUGAACCCUCCUCUGCCCUCCCGGCACUCGUCUGUAGGGCCAAGGACAGUCAGUGAGUUAAGGAAAUGCUAUCCAAGCAGAAUAAACAUCCUAAAAAGAGUUGCCUACAGUCUUAUCCUUAUUAGAAUGAUUCUUUGCCUUUAUUUGCUUAUUAAAUCAACAAAGUAUUGAGUCAAGAGUUGAGGGAGCAUUUCACGAGCUACCUUUAAUAAAAAUAAAAUGUAGGGAGCUUGUAUUGUUGUAACCGUGUAGAAAGAAAACUGCUGGUUAUCCAAUGACUAGAGCUCCUAUAUCAGAAGCCAAAAUGUUGCCUAGAUGUGUGCCGUGAGUGACUGGACAUGAACCCAGCCCAUUAGCCUCCAUUGUAUCUGACCGAGUGGCCCAGCCCAGCCUGGCUUAUUAUGAGCUCUAGGGAGAAGCCCGUGAGCUCUACACUGGGGAAGAGGCAUAAUCUCCACUUCUGGUUCAGUCCUAAGUCCAUGGCUUUAGAAUGAAAAAGUCACUGCAGCAGGUUGCCCUGGUGACCAGUUGCAGACUUUCAUGGUGCCCCACCCCAGCCCACCCCC